Molecule: non-coding RNA, 1180 nt
Organism: Myodes glareolus (Bank vole)
Lineage: Eukaryota; Metazoa; Chordata; Mammalia; Rodentia; Cricetidae
Source: RefSeq, a predicted model, not a curated record
CCUCUGUCUUCCACAUAUUGAUGUACUUGCUUCAUCUGUGUGGUCUCCAAGGCUUCUUGGUGGACUGCACUCUCAGGGGCCUGAGUUCCAUUCAGGCACCCAGCAGUCCCUUUCACAGGCUCCUGCCUCUGUUCAAAUGGCUCACUGAGAUGUUGGUCAGAGCCUAAGCAGAAUUUUCUGGUACUUUGGGGUUCCUUACACUUCCUCUAAAGCUCUCCUCCACCUGUGCAGCUUGUUCACCCUGUGUCUGACCUCCUGACUCUACCUGGGGACCCUGUCUCAUUUCCUGUUCUCGGGAUUCUUUCCACUUGGCAACAAGUCUCUCCCUGGUUGUUCGUGCGUAAGUCAAGCCUCACAGAGAAGGUCCAUUAUCCACAAGUGUCUACAUAUUUCCUGGAACUGCUCUGAUGGGGCCAGGAUCAAAUUUGUUGGCUCCCAAACGAUCCCUGAGCGGAAGAGGGAUGGCUUUAGGGUGGGGCUGAGAGACAAGUCAUAGGCAUUUACCAGAAUGUGAGUGGGUGUGUGUAUUUUUAUAUCUCUGAAAUCAGACAUGCCAGUAUAGUGCCUGGCACAUCGCGGCCCCCAGAGGAAAUACUUCAUGUUACCUGACAAUAUGGUCCCACUGAGUCUUCAUGAAGGAUCGGGACAGGAGCUGUGUCCCAGGGAUAAGACAGCUAACAACCCUGGCUGUCCAGGAACUUGCUUUGAAGACCAGCAUUUUGGUUGGACUGGACAGUCAAUGAUUCCUGCUAUAAAGAGACGACACUUCUCUCAUGAAAAGUCCCCCUCCUGAGUUUAUUACUACAGCAGUGCCAGUAACCUCUGAGAUCAGAAAUAAGUCCAAUGCUCAACACCGUGAGGAUGGCGCCACCAUUCCACAGAACACUGUCCGGGUGUGGGGACGAGGAGACUCUUGAUGAACUAAUCUGGAGCAUCCUCUCAAGCACGCUGGUAGGAGCUAUGUGCUACACUGUGGGAAAGAAGAGGAGCUUUCUUUGCAUGCACAUAUAACGUGUGCACGGAGAACAUAGUAGGUUAGUACGGGGCUCUGGGUUCAACCCUAUCACACUCGCUGGCCCCUAAACCCAUCGUCUACUCUCUCUAGGUGGGGAUUACGUGGCGGGGAGCUGUGCCAGGAAAACUAGUUUCUAUCUCUCUCUUUCCUUUUCCAAGACAGGGU